CCUGCGGAAGGAUCAUUAUUGAAUGAAUGUAGAGUUGGUUGUCGCUGGCCUUUANUGGCAUGUGCACGCCUUCUCUUUCAUCCACACACACCUGUGCACCUGUGAGACGGAGAGAGCUUGCCCUUUUGCGAGGGUGUUUUCUCCGUCUGCCAAUACAUAAACUCAUAUAUUUAAUUUGAAUGUAAUUGAUGUAACGCAUCUAUAAACUAAGUUUCAACAACGGAUCUCUUGGCUCUCGCAUCGAUGAAGAACGCAGCGAAAUGCGAUAAGUAAUGUGAAUUGCAGAAUUCAGUGAAUCAUCGAAUCUUUGAACGCACCUUGCGCUCCUUGGUAUUCCUUGGAGCAUGCCUGUUUGAGUAUCAUGAAAUUAUCAAAACACACUUUUUGUUAAUUCAACUGGUUUUGUUUUGGACUUGGAGGUCUUGCGGAUUCACGUCUGCUCCUCUUAAAAAUAUUAGCUGGAUCUCAGUGAACUCGGUUCCACUCGGCGUGAUAAGUAUCACUCGCUGAGGACACCCGUAAAAAAGGUGGCCGCGAUUGCAGAUGAACCGCUUCUAAUAGUCUAUUAAAUUGGACAGCAUACUUUAUGAUCUGAUCUCAAAUCAGGUAGGACUACCCGCUGAACUUAAGCAUAUCAAUA
This 640-nucleotide ribosomal RNA is filed under the name Rhizoctonia butinii. RNAcentral's name for it is "eukaryotic LSU rRNA". The stretch from base 209 to 362 matches the Rfam family "5.8S ribosomal RNA". Lineage: Eukaryota; Fungi; Basidiomycota; Agaricomycetes; Cantharellales; Ceratobasidiaceae. The record is from RNAcentral.